UUAGUGAGGAUUUUGGGUUUUUUGUGGGGAGUUUGGGAAAUUUUGGGAUUUUUUGAGGGAGAUUUGGGUUUUUUGGGGAUUUUUUAGGGUUUUUUUGAGGUGGUUUGAGGGGUUUUUGAGAAUUUGGGAUUUUUAGGGGGUUGGGUUUUUUUGGGGGGAUUUUGGGGUUUUUUGGGGGGAUUUUUGGGGUUUUUUUGGGGGAUUUUGACUUUUUUUGGGAUGGUUUCAGGUUUUGAGGGGAAUUUGGGUUUUUUUUUUGUAUUUUGGGGUUUUUAGGGUGAUUUUUUGGGUUUCUUUGUGGUGGUUUUGGGAUUUUCUGGGUUUUUUUGGGGGCAAGUUUUGAUUUUUUUUGGUGUUUCUGGGAUUUUGGCAGAAAUUUGAAUCUCUGGAUUAAAUUUGGGGCAAUUACGGCUUUUUGGGCUUUUUUUUUUUUCCUAAGAGGGGGGGAAGGUGAAGCCCCAAUCCAAAAUUUCCCCAAAUUUUUUGGGGGGAAGCCACCCAAAAAAAACCCAAACUCGAGUCGGGGUCUCUGCAUCUCCAUCACCUUUUAUUGCCCAAAAUCCCCCAAAAAUCCCCGGAACCCCCCAAAAUCGGGGGGUGGGGGAGGGGCCGACCCCUCCCCUCACCCCAAAAUUUUUUUUUAGGGAAUUUUGGGCUCUCGGGGGGGUUCGGGGUCGCCCCAAUUGUCUGGGAGGGUCCCCAAAUUAUUUGGGGGGUCCGGUGAUGUCGUGGGGGUCCCCAAAUUCCCGGGGGUCCCCAAAAUUCCAGGGUCAGGUGAAGUUCCCAAAUUUUCAGGGGUUCCCAAAUUUCCCGGGGUCCCUAAAUUCCCGGGGCUCCCCAAAUUCCCAGGGGUCCCCAAAUUUCCAGGGGUUCCCAAACUCCCGGGGGUCCCCAAAUUUCCGGAGGCGUUCGGGCCCCCCCAGCCCCCCCCAAACUCGGGGUCGCCCUCAUCGAUUUCGGGGUCCCCCGCCCCGAAUUCGGGGUCGCCCCCCCCGGGGGCGCUGUCGGGGUCCCCCUGGAGCUCCUCCAGCUCCUCCUGCCGGGGGUCCGGGGGGGUCUCGGCGAACAAAACCUCGGGGGCGACCCCCGAAAUCCAGCGCUGGUGGGGGGGCAGGGCGG
This 1119-nucleotide long non-coding RNA is filed under the name Chloebia gouldiae (Gouldian finch). RNAcentral describes it as "Erythrura gouldiae (Gouldian finch) lncRNA (ENSEGOG00005018248.1)". Lineage: Eukaryota; Metazoa; Chordata; Aves; Passeriformes; Passeridae. The record is from RNAcentral.